UACGAAGGGGGCUAGCGUUGCUCGGAAUCACUGGGCGUAAAGCGCACGUAGGCGGCUUUUUAAGUCAGGGGUGAAAUCCUGGAGCUCAACUCCAGAACUGCCUUUGAUACUGGGAAGCUUGAGUCCGGGAGAGGUGAGUGGAACUCCGAGUGUAGAGGUGAAAUUCGUAGAUAUUCGGAAGAACACCAGUGGCGAAGGCGGCUCACUGGCCCGGUACUGACGCUGAGGUGCGAAAGCGUGGGGAGCAAACAGGG
This 254-nucleotide ribosomal RNA is filed under the name uncultured bacterium. Its description in RNAcentral is "partial 16S ribosomal RNA". It matches the Rfam family "Bacterial small subunit ribosomal RNA", at positions 524 to 777 of the family's 1533-position model. The record is from RNAcentral.